GAUGAACGCUAGCGGCAGGCCUAAUACAUGCAAGUCGAACGGAUAUAUGUUUUUCGGAAUAUAUAUUAGUGGCGCACGGGUGAGUAACACGUACAUAACUUGCCCUCAAGCGGGGGAUAGCCUUGGGAAACUGAGAGUAAUACCCCAUAGAAUUAUUGGACGGCAUCGUUUGAUAAUUAAAACUACGGUGCUUGGGGAUAGAUGUGCGUCUGAUUAGCUAGUUGGUGAGGUAACUGCUCACCAAGGCGACGAUCAGUAGGGGGCGUGAGAGCGUGGCCCCCCACACGGGUACUGAGACAC
Molecule: ribosomal RNA, 300 nt
Filed under: uncultured bacterium
Lineage: Bacteria
Description: bacterial SSU rRNA
Rfam family: Bacterial small subunit ribosomal RNA
Source: RNAcentral